This is a non-coding RNA of Physcomitrium patens, 3094 nucleotides long. Lineage: Eukaryota; Viridiplantae; Streptophyta; Bryopsida; Funariales; Funariaceae. The record is from RefSeq and is a predicted model, not a curated record.
UAGCAUCAGGUGCUGAGAUCGCGAGGGAGGGGGGAGGGAAGGAAGGAAGGAAGGAAGGAAGGAAGGAAGGCCAGGCUUGCUUGCUUCCUUUCUCUGUAGUGCCCGGUUGCAGCAGCACAGCAGCAGCAGCAGCCGCAGUGCAGCGGAGUUUUGGUGUUGCAUCAGCAGUAACGGGAUCUAAGCACAUCUGAUUUUGCGGAAGAAAAGUGAUUGAUAGAUACCUACCUACCUACCUACGUACUUACUUACUUACUUAUCUAUCUGCCUACGCAGGGGGUUUAUUAUUUUGUUUGUGUGUGAGGGUUUGAUUGUUCGCUUUUAGAGGGUUUGGAUAUAUAUUUUUUUUAGUCGGGGAAGUGGAGCAGGGAGAGAGAUUGUUCGGGUUAGGGAGGUUAGAGGAAUGAACUCGAGAUAGUAGGUUUUAUAGUUUUGGGAGUGAAGAGGAGGAGCUUAGGGGGGAGGGAGUUGGAAUUGGAGGGCGGUGAAGGUUUAUAACUCAUAGCUGAAGCUUGGCUCUGCGGGAGCGGACGGUGCGAUUGCCGCUUGGUGUCGUUGCCGUGCAGUUCGUUUGCGGCUCUGGUUGUUAGCGGGGUCUAGGCCGGAGUUACUCGCGAAAGUAUGGAUAGAAGAAGAAGUGAUAUGUAACUUGCGGACGCCUGACGAAUUUUGUUGGACACAGCUGAGUUAAAGUAGUGGACGGAAUGGCUCAGCUUCAAGAUGAUGGACAGUACGUGGGUGACGAGUACAUGGUGGAUUUUGAAGACGAUGCUGAGGAUCAACUGCAGGCGGCCCGUGAGAGCAACUUGCUUGACUCAGAUUCAGAUGAUGACAGUGAUGUGAUGAGUAAACUAUCGGACACGACUGCUGCUCAAGCUCGACGAGGUAAGGAUAUCCAAGGCAUCCCUUGGGACGGGCUGCUGUUUACGAGAGAACAAUACAGGGAAACUCGCCUCCAACAGUACAAGAAUUACUUGAAUUUGCAAUUGCCGCAUGAUGAUCUGGAGAAGGAGUGCAAAGUGGUAGAGAAAGGAGGAAAGUUUUUUGAUUUUCGGCACAACACUAGAUCGGUUAAAUCAACUAUCGUUCAUUUUCAGUUACGAAAUCUAGUGUGGGCUACGUCCAAGCACGAUGUUUAUCUUAUGCACAGCUACUCGGUGAUGCACUGGUCGCCUAUCACCAGGAAAGGAACUGAAGUGCUUAAUGUUGCAGGUCCUGUUGAUCCAGCGUUAGAGGCUCAGAGAAAUCCGUGGCUCUAUCAACAUGGGUUGGGACGUGUUCAGAUUAGUACAAUGUGUGUGAAGCGAAAUCUUCUUGUUGCUGGUGGAUUUCAAGGCGAGAUGGUUUGCAAGAACCUUGAUCGUCCUGGAGUGACGUAUUGUGCCAAGAUCACUCAUGAUGAAAAUGCUAUUACCAACGCCAUCGACAUUUAUGAUGACUGCAGUGGAGCUGUGCGUUUGAUGAGUUCCAACAAUGACUCGGUGGUUCGCGUUUUUGACUGCAACAAUUUUUCUGUUUUGAGCCGAUUUUACUUCCCAUGGGCUGUUAAUCACACCUCUGUUAGUCCUGACAGCAAGUCUGUAAUAGUUGUGGGAGAUAAUGCUGAAGGAAUUUUGGCUGAUAGUCAGAGCGGCAAGGUUAUAGCAACUUUAAGAGGCCAUCUAGACUACUCAUUUGCGUCAGCUUGGCAUCCCGAUGGACGUGUUUUUGCCACUGGAAAUCAAGAUACAACCUGCCGCCUUUGGGAUAAUCGCUAUCUGGGAUCCUCAUUAGCAGUUUUGAAAGGCCGCAUUGGUGCAAUACGCUCUAUAAGAUUCACAGGGGACGGAUGCUUUAUGGUUAUGGCAGAACCUGCAGAUUUCGUUCAUGUUUUUGACACCAAGCAGAACUACUCUCAUUGUCAGGAGAUCGAUCUCUUCGGAGAAGUAGCCGGAGUCUCUUUUAGUCCCGAUUCAGAGGCCCUUUAUGUCGGUGUGGCAGAUCGUACCUAUGGCAGUCUACUCGAGUUCAACCGAAGUCAUGCUAACACAUUUCUUGAUUGCAUCUUAUGAAUAUCGUUUGCAAUUUCGGUAUCAUAGGCAGAUCUUUGUCACACAGCCGCAUGAACAUGGGUUAGUUGUGAGGUUUCGUGGAUGAUCAUGACUUCAUGGGGAGCAUAUGUGCGACAGUGGAACGGGACGUGUAUUAUCAGAAAAUCAAGGCUUUUGGAUUACAUGUUUAGUCGUGGAUUUUACUGUGGAUGGGGGAAAAUAUGGGUGCUGUUUAUUCCUUCAAUCGCAGCAGGGUUGCAGAUGGCACCCGAUAAAGCUUUGAACUCAGUGCGUCCACUGUUUCGUCAGAGAUCUUCUCUGUGAAAAGAUGGCUAAGAUGGCAAGGACAUGGAAAUUGAGAUAAAAUGCUGAGUUGGAACAUGAACGAUAUUGAAUAUUAGCUAAGCCUACGAUGCAGAAAGGUAUAGGAAGAACAGGUUGAUACUGCCUUGCAGUGCUCAUAAGCAGUUCUGCACGUGACCCCUCUGAGGAACAGAAAAAGUGUAAGUAGGUUACUAUGAGAAGUGUGGAGUCGUGUUUGAUGAGGAGCUAUAUGCGUGGCCAUUCUGGAUUUAGAAGAACCUGAAUCGAAGGCCCAACUCUCGCUGCACUUGUAUCCGUGCCUGGUGCAGAAUAUGCACUUGGCUUAGAAUGGCUUAGAAAGGCGGAUUCGCUUUUGGAGUUCUCAAUUUGUCCACUUCAGAAUCGAUACUUUAUCUCUUGUGCAUCAUCUUCGAAUCGUCGGAAAUGAAUGGCUAAGGCAUUACUCAGAUCCAUCAUGCCUGCCAGUCAGCCAAAUGUGAAGUUCUUGUUGGAAGGUUCUAUGCCACUUUUCAUUUACUUUCAACUGGUGGCUCUUUAUAGUACUCAAGUGUGGUGCCAUUUUGCAACACUAAGUGAGGCUUGUAUGUUGAUAACAUUUUUUGGUUCAAGCCAACAGUAGGUGGCAAAUGAAGGGAAAAGAUGAGACAAAACUAUGGGAAGAUAUAAGUGGCCAAUUUUGACAACAAUUAAUGCAAAAGAGUUUGAUACUCUAGUUGUAAUGCAAUAUUCCUUUAUGUACACAA